Molecule: ribosomal RNA, 465 nt
Filed under: Vreelandella stevensii
Lineage: Bacteria; Pseudomonadati; Pseudomonadota; Gammaproteobacteria; Oceanospirillales; Halomonadaceae
Description: partial 16S ribosomal RNA
Rfam family: Bacterial small subunit ribosomal RNA
Source: RNAcentral
CCUACGGGGGGCUGCAGUGGGGAAUAUUGGACAAUGGGGGCAACCCUGAUCCAGCCAUGCCGCGUGUGUGAAGAAGGCCCUCGGGUUGUAAAGCACUUUCAGUGAGGAAGAACGCCUGGUGGUUAAUACCCAUCAGGAAAGACAUCACUCACAGAAGAAGCACCGGCUAACUCCGUGCCAGCAGCCGCGGUAAUACGGAGGGUGCGAGCGUUAAUCGGAAUUACUGGGCGUAAAGCGCGCGUAGGUGGCUUGAUAAGCCGGUUGUGAAAGCCCCGGGCUCAACCUGGGAACGGCAUCCGGAACUGUCAAGCUAGAGUGCAGGAGAGGAAGGUAGAAUUCACGGUGUAGCGGUGAAAUGCGUAGAGAUCGGGAGGAAUACCAGUGGCGAAGGCGGCCUUCUGGACUGACACUGACACUGAGGUGCGAAAGCGUGGGUAGCAAACAGGAUUAGAUACCCUUGUAGUC